This is a long non-coding RNA of Oreochromis aureus, 3813 nucleotides long. NCBI's taxonomy places the organism in Eukaryota, Metazoa, Chordata, Actinopteri, Cichliformes, Cichlidae. The record is from Ensembl.
UUUCAUUUUUUCCCAUUUUUAUUUAUAAAAUGAAGGUGUUAAAAGUCUAGGAAGCAUUCAUCACUGGCAAGUGAGACUUCAAACAUAUUCAUAUUUAAUAAUAAUUCUCCCUUUAAGAGCGUCUAACAACAGAGUUUGUACAAGGCAAAUAAUUUAAGGACAAUAUUUUAAAAAAAUGAUUAAGUGACUACAUAUAACUAUGACCUCCUGGCUUUGUGCACAGGCGUAAGACAGGUGCUUGUACCGACAGACAUCUAUACAGUAUUUAAUAUCACAAUAAUCCUGAACAUUACUCUUCAAAAACUGGCUUUUGUUGAAACAUGAAUGUUUUGUACCGUAUGUUCGGCUCCAUUAAUGCUGUGAAAAUGUAAUGGAAUCAGAAGGUGAGUACAAAGUCCUGAAGAAUCUGCUUUUUCGAGUAGAUCAUAACACUGGAGCCCUCCAUCAACAUGCCUGUGAACGCUUUAAUGAAAGCAGCUCAGUGCAAAUAAUGGUGCCAAAUAAGUUUCUUUUUCCUGGUUUGUUACAUAUAGACCACCACAACAAAUCCAACCUAGUUAGCACAUGAAAAUACAACAUUUUAAAAUGACAUUUUUAAACCCAAGAAGAACAUUUUUUAAAAUAUACAACAGAUGAAACACAAUCAUAUUAUGUGACAUUACAUUUGUACCUAUGUGAAUGGAAACAGUUGUGAUGGAAAAACUGACAUGUUGUGCGAUGCUGUGUGGCGUCGCUGGCAAAACGUUAUCGGCAGAUAAGCGGUUUAACAUAUAAAUUGCAAAAAAGUUGCUGUUUAUCACAUGUAGCACAGAGAUAAAGACGGCUUACAUCAGCUGUACUCUCGCUACUGGAAAUGCUCCAAUGGUUUCAGCCCAACCACUCAUAGGAGGGUGACUCACUAACAGUGAACUAACCUGUGUUAUUAUCAAUGCAAACUGGAGCAAACUGGACAUUGCACCGUUUUUGAACUAGAGUCAGCUGGUUUAAAGACUUUUUAAUGUCCAAUCCAUUUGCCAACAUGCACCUUGGUAAGGUCAUGUCUAAAAGGGCCGAGGGCCACAGUGCAUAGUGUGAAAUUGCUAUACUACAUUGUGCAGUACAUUGUUGUUCAGUGUUAGAGCAGAAAUGUAAAGUAAUUAAGCUAAAUAAUGAGCCGGUGUUAAAUGGAUAUAGCACAUUUUGAUCUUCACACGAGGGUUGAAAAUGUUUUUACAUUUUACAAAUAAACACUCAAAGAAAAUGUGUUACUGUAUUGGUGAACAAUUCAUUUUGCUCUUAUUCCCCCUUUCUUACAUUUUAGCACACGGUGGGGAAACAAGACCAUUUCUGCAGGAAAAAAAUGCAGCAUUUUUGCCACAAUGAUGAAAUGAGCACUAAUUAAAAACAGGAUUUACGCCAGUGAGACAACAAAUGUGUAGACCACCUGCAUGAAACGUACCUGUUUUUCAACCCCUGAUUCAAAACCUCAAAUACAUAAAUGAGACAUAAACUGUAUAUCAGCAGUGUGUCCUUUCUGAGAGUUAUCAGUAUCUCCCACACAGGGGUUUGCAGUUUCUUUGGGCAUCAGGGACACAGAGUGUAAGCACUCAAACAGGUUAUACACCAGUACAAAGAAGUGAAGUCUCUGUGCUUCUAUUACGUGGCAUUGUGUAUGUGUAUUGUUGUCUCAUCCGGUUAUAUAACAUGCAGGUAGGUUGCCUUGGUGUCCACCCCUAUCACAUUUUUGGCGGUGCAUUUGUAAAAUCCUGUAUCCAUGCUUGUCGGGUUUUGUAUCACUAAAGAACCCUGAGGGCUAAGAUAGCGGUUCCCAUAAAUGCGAGGCUGAGCCAUGACCUUCAGCUGCAUCAGGUCUGGUGUUUCCCAGGUAACUGUCGCCCGGGUGUUGCUAUGGUCAGGCAGGGCAGUUCCACAGCGACGCCGGGGCGGGUGUAGGUCACAGGGGAGGGCCCUGUUGUGAUGCGCGGAGGGUAGGCGAUGACAAUAACAGGAACUGUGAUCACUGAAACUGAGGAAGAGUCGUAACUCGUGGAUCUGCAGGUGUAGGUGCCACGGUCGAACACAGAGGCCUGUUGCACUGUUAAUGCUCCAUCCUCUUGGAUUAAGUAACGGCCUGAGUCACCACUCUCACCCUGGGACAGCACCUUGCCACUGGGCAUGGUCCAUGUGAAUGAGCUGCGGGUAAAUCCAGGUGUUUGAGAGGCAGGGCAAGGCAGGUGAAGGGUCUCUCCAUUAAUGAUGCUCACAAGUGAGGCUGUUUGGGUGAUCACAGUGGGCACUGAGGCAGUGCCAGUUGAGGAUGGGGGACCAACUGGGUGAGGUGGUGCAGGCAAUCUCACUGCACUUUGCCGAGGCUUUUCAGUAACUGAGAUUCUCGGGUAAAGCACAGGUGACGCUGGCUUUGAGCUUAAGGACUGCUCUGAUACCACUAACCCUCCUGAGAGCGGCACCUUAGUUAAACCAACCCUUUCUUCCCUGUGUGGAGAUCUGACCUCCUCCUGCCGGUCUGACACCUCCAGCUCCACCCGCAUUGUCGUCUCUCCUUUCUCACUUCUCACUACACAAACCAAGACACCAGCAUCACUCCCUCGAACACCCCGCAGCUCUAAGGUACCAUUUCGGUGCACAGUGAGACGACUGCCAUAGUAGGGAGAUGGCAACAUGCCAUUCCCGGGCAGAAGCCAGAACAGACGCGACUGACGGGAAUUUUGGGACGGGCAUGGCAAAAAAAUUGUUUGACCUUUAACUGCUUGCUGCUUCACCGUCGUUGCUACACCCAGUGCUGUGUUGGGGGAGUUUUUAGCAGUAUUACUACUUAACUCACCACUAUUUCUUCUGCUGUCCGUCCUUCCUAGAUUACUGCUCCUAUUAAAAUCAUCCCCUCUGUGUGUGCUUGUCCCAACUGCUUUAUUAGACACAGUGCUACUAAAGCCUCCAGCAUUUCUCGAAUUACCACUUAACCUGCCAUUUUCUCCGCUCGUAUUAGCGUCAUUACUAGCCUUUCCUGCAAUGACUUCAUUGAUAUUCCGUGCAGGAUUUCUCUCAGCACUACCUUCUCUAACUGUGCUGCGACUGUUACCUACACUGUUGCCGUUGUGUAUAAUACUAGGUCUAUUUAUAUUAAUUCCAGUAUUAUCUGCUUUAGUGCUUACAUUCCUUGCACGGUUCACCCCCACGCUGAUUACGCUACUGCUUAGUUUUGUUGUAAUUCCACUCACAAGCCCGUUAAAUCCAUUUUGACUAUCAUUCUUAAGGACAGGAUUAGAGCUACUGAUUGCCAAAUUAACACCACUGCUUGGUACAAUGUUUCUUAUCCUCUCAUUAUCGUUGUCAUUGCUGCUGCUGUUGUUAUGCAGCUUGUCUGUGAUUCCAGACAAUCCAUAGCGGAUUAUCCCCCCAUUGUUAAUGUUGUCCCCUGAUCUGGUGUCAGUCCCACUGUUAUUACUCCAACGUCCUCCUUCCACUCGGCCACGCAAUCCAUAGGUAGGCGUCUCCACCUCAAGCCUGACCACCCUGCUCCUCUCCCCAGCUGAGUUGCUUGCUUGGCACGUAUAGUUUCCCGUGUCGAUCUUUUGAGCUACGCGCACCUCCAGAGUGCCAUUUGAAACCACCACUACUCGUUCAAAAUAAUAACCAGAUCCUAAACUUCGUGGGAUAACACGGUUUGCAGGGUUGAACCACGUCACUGUAGGGGUAGGGUUUCCUGUGGCUCGGCAGGGAAUUCGGGCUGUUGCUCCCUGGCGUACUUUCAUGACAUGGUAGCUUCUGUCAUCAGUAAAAGUUGGUACAGAUGUCAUCAUAACCUUUACUUUGACC